ACCCGUUCCCAUUCCGAACACGGAAGUUAAGCCCUCCAGCGCCGAUGGUACUUGGCUGGAAACGGCCUGGGAGAGUAGGUCGCUGCCGGAA
This 91-nucleotide ribosomal RNA is filed under the name Candidatus Fermentithermobacillaceae bacterium. Lineage: Bacteria; Bacillati; Bacillota; Candidatus Fermentithermobacillia; Candidatus Fermentithermobacillales; Candidatus Fermentithermobacillaceae. The record is from RNAcentral.